RNAcentral lists this long non-coding RNA (2682 nucleotides) under Mytilus galloprovincialis (Mediterranean mussel). Lineage: Eukaryota; Metazoa; Mollusca; Bivalvia; Mytilida; Mytilidae. The record is from RNAcentral.
AUAAUCCAAGAAUAGUUUAGAUUUUAUCUAAGGACACAUGUCCCUAUCUUUUCAACUUAAACAUUUCUUGUGUAUGUAUUCAAUAUUCACUGCAUAGAAACAUAUUGAUGUUGCCUUUGCACAUGAAUAUCAUUGGGGUGGGGGAGGAGUUGUGAUUGACAGGUGAUGCAUAAAUAUUUCUAUCUCUGAUGUAAUAUAGUAGGUAACAUGGUUGAAACAUGGGAUUAAAAGAGUCUGUAUAAGAAUGAAAAAUAUAUUGGUGCAAAUGAUUAUUUUUUCUAUACUGUACUUAUUUGAUGACUUAAGGGGGAAGACCUUGGUUCAGGAGAUACUCUUUUAAAUCAGUUAUGCGCUUGUAACAGUCAAGUUUUGUCAAUGAAUUUUAAGCAUUUACCUGAAACAGAUUCGAAAUAAUCUUUGUAUCCUAGAAGCUUAGAACAUAUUUAUGAAAAUGGCUGACUCAAACAUACUGAUGAUUUUAAGAGUUAUUUCCCUUAACCUAGGUCUACCUCCUUAAGGCCAAUUUUGUUUUUUGUGUUACACGUUUAAGAGUUUAUAGACAAACACAUUCCAUGUUGAAUAUUUUGAAUAUUUAUAUAGUUUAUACUUCUUGAUAUUCCUUUGUUAUCAGGUUUUGAUGUCUUAUUAUUUUUUUGUAGAAAUUUUUAGAAAAUUCAAAACACAUGUAUUACUUUAUUUACUGCUUAUGUCAAAUAAACCAAUUUGAUAAACACUGUAGCUAUAAAGCAAAAUAACUUGUCAAUUUGAAGAAAAUGUAUAUGAUAUUCAUUUUAUUGUGCCUUCUCAAUAUUUUAAUUAUGCAAAACUAUUGAGCUGAUAUACAAUUUGCUCAUAUUUUAAAUAUAUCUAUUGCAUUUUACAGUGUACUGAGUUAUCUUUCCUUUACAAGUUUAGUAAAUACUAGAUUCUAUAGGUUACAAGAGCGCAAUUAUUUGUUUACAUUUUACCGGCAAAUUUUUUACCCCAAGAUGGUACUCAGAAUAGAAUCCUAUACGGCUUCUGAUUGGUUGAUACAGGAUUGGAAUUACAUUUAAUCGAAUUUAUCCAAUUAGGUUAAAAAACUGCAGAAAAUCAUAUUCACAUUUUACGAAGUACAGAAAAUAUCUUCCAUUUCUGCACGUCGGAGCCAUUAAAAAUAUGCCUUUUUCAUUAAGCGAAAAAAAUAGACGAUCUUUUUCAACUGCAUUUUAAGUCAAUUUGAGCCGCAUGACCUAUAUAUUUUUUUGGUUGUAAUGCAACACGGGCAUUUCUAGUAGCAGAAACUGCUACCCGUUUUCCCUAGUUUGUGUAGUCUUCGAGAAAAAAAAUAUGAAACACUAGUGGUACCCUAUAGAAAAUACAUAACGAAUAAUUGCGCUCUUGUAACCUAUAAAUGCAAUUUGAACAGAGUUAUUUCCCUUUUAUUACAAUUUUUGUGAUCUACGUGCACAAAUUCCUUCAUUAAUCUGCAAAAUUCAACUUAUCCAAACAGAUAGGUUAUAGAAAACGUUGUUUUCUGAGCAAUUUUAUGAUCUCUUAGGAUGUGCUUAGGUGAGGUUUGGAAUUCAUGUCAGAUGUUCAGACUCCUUGGCGUUUUUCCAUAAAAUACAAGGUAAAAUAUUUUGCUCCAUAACACCCGUUUAUUUUUUUAUAUAAGAAUUAAUAGCUCAUGAAAGGUCAUUUACCAAAAUUGUAGAAGAUUUUUGAUUUUCUUUCUUUUGUUUUGAGACCCAAAUAAUACCAAUGCAAAUAUAAGGUAAAAGUCAGAGUCAGCCUUUUCCUGCCAUAUUUUAAAUCUCAAAUCUUGAAAAGGAGGUCCAUAACCUAUCAAUAUUUUUAGCUUAUUUUUAUCCUUAACGAAUGCUUUACCUGCUUAUAGUAUCAAUUUUAAAUUCUUGAUUUAUUCAUUUUCACACAACCUCAUCCAAGUACAUCUCUAUGAUUUAGUAAGGAUCUUUCAACAGACUUAUUUGUACCACAUGUUUGAAUUUGUUCAGACAAAUAAAAAGAUGAACUAUUUUACUCCAAAAAUGAAAAUAUUGACCAAGGGAAGUAACUCAAACUAAAUAACAUCAAAUCAAAUCUAUAUUACAUCUUUGUCAUAGUUGAAUAUUUUUUUAAAAGAAGUAGACCAAAGUUGAGCAGUUAGGUUCUUUAUACAAAUGAUCAAAAUGAUCCUGUAAAUUCAGAAAUUAUUGGGUGCAUUUAUUAUUGUAAUUUUGUCAUUUUAGACUAAAAUGUGAUUUUAAUUUUUGCGAUAUUCAGAAAAAUUCUGUUUGAUUCAUAUAAAAAAAAUCAAAAUAGGAGUUUUAAUUUUUGCAAUUAUAAACCUGUCGCUUUUUGUGGCAAUAAUAAAAACAUGGCAAUUAUUUCUGAAUUACAGUAUUCAAAUCUAGUUUUCCCACCCUUAAACAAAACUUUGUCAUGUGAUAGUGAGUUAAGUUUUUUGAAUUAUGUUUUAUAGAAAUAUAUUUCUUGUUAAUAUAUUUAUAUCUAUAUUAUCUUUGUAUAUAAUUGAAUAAGUAAUUUGUCUUCCAAAGCAAUAAAUUUUCUGAUUUUGUUAUUUGUACACUGGUGUUCACUUUUUUUUCUAUAUGUUAGUUGGGAGCCUUUUUUAGUGGGCCUUGUUGGUGGGCCUUGUUGGCUGAGUGGUCCAAUAACUUAUCUAUAGUUAUAUGUAGC